GCUUGCUUCAACAGCAUAUACUAAAAAUGGAAUGCUAAAAAGAAGAUGAGCAUGAUUUCUGCUCAAGAAUGACACAGAAACUCAUGAUAUAUUUCAUGUUUUU
This is a small nuclear RNA of Trichosurus vulpecula (common brushtail), 103 nucleotides long. The record is from RefSeq and is a predicted model, not a curated record. Lineage: Eukaryota; Metazoa; Chordata; Mammalia; Diprotodontia; Phalangeridae.